ACAAAUAAAGUUUAUUUAUUUUCCUAUGUAGGAAACGUAUAUAUUCUCCAUUUGUGAUAUGACUUGUUUUGUUUUACCAUUAUUUUUAUCA
This is a small nucleolar RNA of Plasmodium yoelii, 91 nucleotides long. The record is from RefSeq and is a predicted model, not a curated record. NCBI's taxonomy places the organism in Eukaryota, Apicomplexa, Aconoidasida, Haemosporida, Plasmodiidae.